GACAAAAUAUUGUUCUUUACAUAGAAAAAAAAAAUUCUCACCAAAGAUUAGCAUGGCCCCUGCGCAAGGAUGACACGCAAAAUUGUGAAGCGUUCCACAUUUUU
This is a small nuclear RNA of Cotesia glomerata, 104 nucleotides long. NCBI's taxonomy places the organism in Eukaryota, Metazoa, Arthropoda, Insecta, Hymenoptera, Braconidae. The record is from RefSeq and is a predicted model, not a curated record.